GAGAGCACUGGCUAUAUUGACUACGACCAGCUCGAGAAAAGUGCCACACUCUUUAGGCCAAAAUUGAUUGUUGCUGGUGCUAGUGCCUACGCACGUCUUUAUGACUAUGACAGAAUCCGGAAGGUUUGCAACAAACAGAAAGCUAUUUUGUUAGCAGAUAUGGCACACAUUAGUGGAUUGGUUGCAGCUGGAGUUAUCCCAUCACCAUUUGACUAUGCUGAUGUUGUCACUACCACAACCCACAAGUCCCUUCGUGGCCCUCGUGGUGCUAUGAUUUUUUAUAGGAAGGGUGUUAAAGAGGUUAACAAGCAAGGCAAGGAGGUUUUCUACGACUAUGAAGACAGAGCGAAGCUCGUAUAUUCAGCAUCUAAUAAGGUAAACAUAUGUACAAAUUACACACAAUGUAGCGCGAAAAGUGAUCAAAACAAGAGAAGGCAUACCAAUACACAACAGAAGAGGAAGAAAUAUAAUCUUCCAAGUGAUCUAUCCGCGUGUAACAGCUGCCUUCUCAUUCUCAAACUCGUGUUUAUUUCAAGGUUAUACGAGUUUGGACAUGCGUUUCCAAAGACUCUUGCAUAAACCACUUCACCAAUCACGGUUGGUGAGGCCGUGUAGCUCCCUGAAUGUGGCUGUUGUCGAUGGUUAAGUUGUUGCGAUGGAAGUGAAUUUGUCGUAGUUGCUAUAUCCCCACUACAUGUUGGCCUCAGAGGCCUUUGUGGUAUGACCAUGCCUUUACUUGUAACGCCGUCUGCAGAUGAUUUUGUUGCUUGGCCAGGGCCAUAGAGCGGAAUCAACUCCUUUUGUGAAACUUUAGCUUUGCAAACAGGACAUUGUGGCUUUUGGUGAUCCGAGGCGCCCUGGAAUUGAAUCCACUUGUAGAUACAAGGCCAACAAUAAAGGUGACCGCAAAAUGUAACCACGGGAUCUUUUACAACGUCCAAACAUAUGUUACAGUCAAAACCACUAGCGCGAUUGUCAUCAUCACGCUCAUCAUCAAGCGUCUUCCAUUUCUGUAAGGGGCUACCACGACAUUUGUUAAAGGUACUCUCUGCUAUCUGUUCUUCAAAAUGAAGAUCCAACGCCAUAUCUUGUUUCUUGAUUUCUAGUGCCUGAAUACAGAUCAAGAUUGUCCUUUUAACUGAUGAUUUUCACAACUCCCAAUCAAAAAAAAAGGAAAAAAAACUCUUCAAUGUUAUAGUGAGUGAUAUAAAGAAGCAAAG
RNAcentral lists this unclassified non-coding RNA (1220 nucleotides) under Hevea brasiliensis (rubber tree). Lineage: Eukaryota; Viridiplantae; Streptophyta; Magnoliopsida; Malpighiales; Euphorbiaceae. The record is from RNAcentral.